CUUGUCUAUAUUCAGAUACCCCCCUACAUUCGGAUACUCCCCUGCAUUAGAUAUUUCUCUAUACUUAGAUACUCCCCUACAUUCAGAUAGUCCUCUUCAUCAGAUACUCCUGUAGAUUCAGAUUCUCCCCUGCAUCAGAUACCACCCUGCAUUCAGGUACUGCCCUCUUGUUCUGUGGGUUUUUUUUUUUUUUGUAGAAAUUUGCCAACUGUAACGUCCUUACAAAGUGUUUUAACUGCUUUGAUGUGAGAGCUUGCUUUAACUUUGCGGUAAAAGUGCUUUGUGGCAGAGGACCUCCUGCUUUGUGUCCUAAAGACUCGAAAUGAACUGAAAGCAUCAACUCUUCCUCCUUGAAAUAAACAAUGACUCUUCUACGUCAAGAAGCACGUCCCCAAUGUAGGGCCCUGCACACACACACGCACAUGCACGCACAAGGCGACAGAGAUGCAUACACUUCCCUCCGCUGAAGAAGAAUUAGGACACCUUCAUCAGCUUCCAGUGACACGGCAGGCUCAUGCAAAUCUGUUAGGACAGUUGUGCGGAGAAUGGCAUGCUCGUGAGGAUGCACAUCUCAUCAUCAGUAGUGAUGUUCAGAGGUGCAGCAUGUUGUCCAAGCCAGGUUCACACACAUCAGUCCCCAUCGAGGGGUAUGCUGGCAUCACACCUGGAUGGUGUGCCAUCACAUAUCACCAGAUUUAG
This 699-nucleotide long non-coding RNA is filed under the name Canis lupus familiaris (dog). RNAcentral's name for it is "lncRNA (ENSCAFG00030011585.1)". The record is from RNAcentral. Lineage: Eukaryota; Metazoa; Chordata; Mammalia; Carnivora; Canidae.